Molecule: unclassified non-coding RNA, 517 nt
Filed under: uncultured Glomeromycotina
Lineage: Eukaryota; Fungi; Glomeromycota
Description: SSU rRNA
Rfam family: Eukaryotic small subunit ribosomal RNA
Source: RNAcentral
AGCAGCCGCGGUAAUUCCAGCUCCAAUAGCGUAUAUUAAAGUUGUUGCAGUUAAAAAGCUCGUAGUUGAAUUUCGGGGUUCUACCGUUGGUCGGGCUUUGUCUGUACUGGCGUGUAGAAUUUCUACCUUCUGGGGAACCAUCAUGUUAUUAAUUUAACGUGGUGGGAAACCAGGACCUUUACCUUGAAAAAAUUAGAGUGUUCAAAGCAGGCUUAUGUCUGAAUACAUUAGCAUGGAAUAAUAGAAUAGGACGGUGGUCCUGUUUUGUUGGUUUCUGAAUCACCGUAAUGAUUAAUAGGGAUAGUUGGGGGCAUUAGUAUUCAAUUGUCAGAGGUGAAAUUCUUGGAUUUAUUGAAGACUAACUUCUGCGAAAGCAUUUGCCAAGGAUGUUUUCAUUAAUCAAGAACGAAAGUUAGGGGAUCGAAGACGAUCAGAUACCGUCGUAGUCUUAACCAUAAACUAUGCCGACUAGGGAUCGGACGAUGUUAACUUUUCUUGACUCGUUCGGCGCCUUACG